UGUGCCUCCAUCUUGGGUGAAAGAAGAGAUGUGAGGGCAUUUUUGUCUUCUCCCCCGCUCCCUAAUUCUGUUGAAGUGCUUUCAGACCACCUGAAGGGAGCAGCUCUAAAUGCUUCAGGGCGUGUGGUUGAACAGACUCCAACUACCAAGAUGGAGAAGCUGAAGUGGAUCACACUGGUCAGCACUGACCAGAACCACCUCAAGCACCAGGGCAGCAGACACAAGCAGGAAAAUUGACUCUGAUCAUCCCUGGGGUCGUUUAACUAAAACACACAUUUCGGUCGAGCCAAGUGUUCACCAGCGCUUUUCAACUCCCCUGGUGUCAAAACAAUUAGCAGAUCACAGCAGCACCGACUCGCUGGUGCUGCAAUGGAAGCAUCUGGCCAGCACAUGGAGACGCAAUGCCAGCACAGACAAAUGUGACCAGAAGGAAUCUGACACAACCAACCCUUCCUUUGCAAUCAACGUGGGAUCCAAAACAAACCUUCGGCGCUCUCGGCAUCGCUGCCCAGGGAACCAGGCAUCCUGCAAAUAAACACUGAAUUGCAAAUCUGCGAGGGAGCUGAAUACAGCAUCACAGCCAUACUUCUUUCUGGUGGAUUGGCUCAGAAGAGAAGUUCUGUACAUGGGCUUUGGUAACAUCCAGCCAAGAGCUGAGUUUCGAGGGCCAGGAACUGCAGAUGGGCACACA
This 691-nucleotide long non-coding RNA is filed under the name Gallus gallus (chicken). RNAcentral describes it as "long non-coding RNA NONGGAT003237". The record is from RNAcentral. Lineage: Eukaryota; Metazoa; Chordata; Aves; Galliformes; Phasianidae.